RNAcentral lists this ribosomal RNA (254 nucleotides) under uncultured bacterium. Its description in RNAcentral is "partial 16S ribosomal RNA". It matches the Rfam family "Bacterial small subunit ribosomal RNA", at positions 524 to 776 of the family's 1533-position model. The record is from RNAcentral.
UACGGGGGGAGCAAGCGUUGUUCGGAUUUACUGGGCGUAAAGGGCGCGUAGGCGGCCACCGCAAGUCGAUUGUGAAAUCUCCGGGCUUAACCCGGAAAGGUCAACCGAUACUGCGGGGCUAGAGUGCGGAAGGGGCAACUGGAAUUCUUGGUGUAGCGGUGAAAUGCGUAGAUAUCAAGAGGAACACCUGCGGCGAAGGCGGGUUGCUGGGCCGACACUGACACUGAGGCACGAAAGCGUGGGGAGCAAACAGG